CCUCUACCGCUGUUUACACAACAUAACGUUUCAGAAAAAAAAAACGAGCCACCCGUGCGUCACCCCAUCCCCUGCGCCUCCUCCAUCUCCCGACCUCAUCUCUCCCGCCGCCGCCCAAACUCUAGGCGCGCCUCCAAGGUUCGUCGCCGGCGGCCUCAUAUCUCAUGCGGAAUGGAUCCCCAAGAUGAUGAUCUUCCUUCCAGAACAGCCUCCGCUCCUUGAGGGGGGCCGGACCCCUUUAUCCCACCGGCAUCGGCUGGCCUAGCGCCGUCGAGGGCACCCAGGUGGCUGGGCGCGGCCGUGGCCUGCUAGCAGGCCGCAGGCCUGCACUGGCGCCGGCCGUGGCCGUGGCGCAGCCAGACUGGCGGCGCUCCGGUGAGUGACACCAUGGCCGACGAUGGCUUCAAGCUUCAGACGAGGUUUCGCGGUAGCGUCGCGCACAUGCUCUCCGCGGUGCUCUCGUCCGUGUUCUGAUUCCUGGACGAAGCAGUAGUUCUUUACUGUGUGGAUUUGUUCUUGAUGCUUCGCUAGCUAGCCCUGUAGCCCAUGUCUAUUUUGUACCCACGUAAAAAUAGAUUUGAGCUGAGACUUUUUGUUCACGUAUCCUGUUGCAUGAUGAGAGUGGAUGUUUUCUUGCACCACCAAUGCACAACCCUUUAUUCACAGGAACAAUUGUCCGUGUAGCAAAUUGUUGCAGCGAAUUACUGUAGUGAAUUACUGUAGCGCAUCAAAGAAAAAGAAAAGAAAAGGUAAAAGGACUAUUCCUCCUAA
Molecule: long non-coding RNA, 771 nt
Organism: Panicum virgatum (switchgrass)
Lineage: Eukaryota; Viridiplantae; Streptophyta; Magnoliopsida; Poales; Poaceae
Exons: 2
Source: RefSeq, a predicted model, not a curated record